This 750-nucleotide ribosomal RNA is filed under the name uncultured bacterium. RNAcentral's name for it is "bacterial SSU rRNA". It matches the Rfam family "Bacterial small subunit ribosomal RNA", at positions 43 to 783 of the family's 1533-position model. The record is from RNAcentral.
CAGGCCUAACACAUGCAAGUCGAGCGGACCAUUCCUUCGGGGAUGGUUAGCGGCGGACGGGUGAGUAACACGUAGGCAACCUGCCUGUAAGAUCGGGAUAACUACCGGAAACGGUAGCUAAGACCGGAUAGCUGGUUUCUCCGCAUGGAGGGAUCAUGAAACAUGGGGCAACCUGUGGCUUACGGAUGGGCCUGCGGCGCAUUAGCUAGUUGGUGGGGUAAUGGCCCACCAAGGCGACGAUGCGUAGCCGACCUGAGAGGGUGAUCGGCCACACUGGGACUGAGACACGGCCCAGACUCCUACGGGAGGCAGCAGUAGGGAAUCUUCCGCAAUGGGCGCAAGCCUGACGGAGCAACGCCGCGUGAGUGAUGAAGGUUUUCGGAUCGUAAAGCUCUGUUGCCAAGGAAGAACGCCUCGGAGAGUAACUGCUCUGAGGGUGACGGUACUUGAGAAGAAAGCCCCGGCUAACUACGUGCCAGCAGCCGCGGUAAUACGUAGGGGGCAAGCGUUGUCCGGAAUUAUUGGGCGUAAAGCGCGCGCAGGCGGUCUUUUAAGUUUGGCGUUUAAGCCCGGGGCUCAACCCCGGUUCGCACUGAAGACUGGGAGACUUGAGUGCAGGAGAGGAAAGCGGAAUUCCACGUGUAGCGGUGAAAUGCGUAGAGAUGUGGAGGAACACCAGUGGCGAAGGCGGCUUUCUGGACUGUAACUGACGCUGAGGCGCGAAAGCGUGGGGAGCAAACAGGAUUAGAU